GACGUAGGGCGCGAGCGUUGUCCGGAUUCAUUGGGCGUAAAGGGUGUGUAGGUGGCGCGCUAAGUCGGGUGUGAAAUUUCGGAGCUUAACUCCGAAACUGCAUUCGAUACUGGCGUGCUUGAGGACUGGAGAGGAGACUGGAAUUUACGGUGUAGCAGUGAAAUGCGUAGAUAUCGUAAGGAAGACCAGUGGCGAAGGCGGGUCUCUGGACAGUUCCUGACACUGAGACACGAAGGCCAGGGGAGCAAACGGG
RNAcentral lists this ribosomal RNA (253 nucleotides) under uncultured bacterium. Its description in RNAcentral is "partial 16S ribosomal RNA". It matches the Rfam family "Bacterial small subunit ribosomal RNA", at positions 524 to 776 of the family's 1533-position model. The record is from RNAcentral.